RNAcentral lists this ribosomal RNA (429 nucleotides) under Pseudomonadota bacterium. Its description in RNAcentral is "Proteobacteria bacterium partial 16S ribosomal RNA". It matches the Rfam family "Bacterial small subunit ribosomal RNA", at positions 355 to 776 of the family's 1533-position model. Lineage: Bacteria; Pseudomonadati; Pseudomonadota. The record is from RNAcentral.
UGGGGAAUAUUGGACAAUGGGCGAAAGCCUGAUCCAGCCAUGCCGCGUGUGUGAAGAAGGUCUUCGGAUUGUAAAGCACUUUAAGUUGGGAGGAAGGGCAGUAAGCGAAUACCUUGCUGUUUUGACGUUACCGACAGAAUAAGCACCGGCUAACUCUGUGCCAGCAGCCGCGGUAAUACAGAGGGUGCAAGCGUUAAUCGGAAUUACUGGGCGUAAAGCGCGCGUAGGUGGUUCGUUAAGUUGAAUGUGAAAGCCCCGGGCUCAACCUGGGAACUGCAUCCAAAACUGGCGGGCUAGAGUAGGGCAGAGGGUGGUGGAAUUUCCUGUGUAGCGGUGAAAUGCGUAGAUAUAGGAAGGAACACCAGUGGCGAAGGCGACCACCUGGGCUCAUACUGACACUGAGGUGCGAAAGCGGGGGGAGCAAACAGG